CGGAGAGUGAUGCAGUUAUGGGAUGACUGCCACCGUCCUGAAAACGGCUGGUUCGGGUUACCGAAUGGGGUUCAAGUCCUCCUCUCUCCGC
Molecule: transfer RNA, 91 nt
Filed under: Propionibacteriaceae bacterium
Lineage: Bacteria; Bacillati; Actinomycetota; Actinomycetes; Propionibacteriales; Propionibacteriaceae
Description: tRNA-Ser
Source: RNAcentral